GACGAACGCUGGCGGCGUGCCUAAUACAUGCAAGUCGAACGCUUCUUUCCUCCCGAGUGCUUGCACUCAAUUGGAAAGCGGAGUGGCGGACGGGUGAGUAACACGUGGGUAACCUACCCAUCAGCGGGGGAUAACACGUGUAAACAGGAGCUAAUACCGCAUAACAGUUUAUGCCGCAUGGCAUAAGAGUGAAAGGCGCUUUCGGGUGUCGUUGAUGGAUGGACCCGCGGUGCAUUAGCUAGUUGGUGAGGUAACGGCUCACCAAGGCCACGAUGCAUAGCCGACCUGAGAGGGUGAUCGGCCACACUGGGACUGAGACACGGCCCAGACUCCUACGGGAGGCAGCAGUAGGGAAUCUUCGGCAAUGGACGAAAGUCUGACCGAGCAACGCCGCGUGAGUGAAGAAGGUUUUCGGAUCGGAAAACUCUGUUGUUAGAGAAGAACAAGGACGUUAGUAACUGAACGUCCCCUGACGGUAUCUAACCAGAAAGCCACGGCUAACUACGUG
RNAcentral lists this ribosomal RNA (508 nucleotides) under uncultured bacterium. Its description in RNAcentral is "partial 16S ribosomal RNA". It matches the Rfam family "Bacterial small subunit ribosomal RNA", at positions 28 to 507 of the family's 1533-position model. The record is from RNAcentral.